Molecule: RNA transcript, 6367 nt
Organism: Carya illinoinensis
Lineage: Eukaryota; Viridiplantae; Streptophyta; Magnoliopsida; Fagales; Juglandaceae
Gene name: disease resistance protein RUN1-like
Exons: 5
Source: RefSeq, a predicted model, not a curated record
GAUAUUAGUGAUACUGCCGCCAGCCUCGUCCAAAGUCAAACCUCUCCGUCGCUCUCUCUGCACCCAGCACCAUCACAGAACCACCCAACCCUUCCUUGAGCCAAACAGGAACCAAGAAUCCAACAGCCCUGUUUUGCAGGCAUAAAAACAGAGCAGUUUGAUCAGCCACCGUUGCACCGUAGCCCCACCGUGCGCCGCCCAAAGCUGCCGAGUUCCCUCCUGCACGGUGUAUUCCGCCAGCCCACUGCCCAGUCAACACGUAACCGCAGCACCCGCUCUGUUUUUCACACUCAAAACAGAGUUUUGUUCACCUCUUAAGCCAGCCGUAGCCUCCGUCCCACUGCCCAGCCAACGCAAAACCGCAGCAUCCCUGCACAGCCACCGUGACCCAGCCGUGAACCCACCUGUGGAGCCACCGAAAACAUUAGAUGAGUGUGCCCUGUUGCACCACGCCGAAAGAGGGGUGAUAUUUUCCCCACUGUAAGGCACUGCAACCACCUCCACCGAGAACUCCAUCACGUUGAGACGCCCCAAAAAACCGCCACCCCAGGCCAUCUCACGCCUCCUCACAGUUGCGCGCCGCCAGAUCCGCCCGUGUCUCCUCCACUCGCAGCUGCUCUCACGGUGAGUGCCGUUGCCGAGUACCCUGGGUGAGCUAGCGUUUGUACUGCCCUGCAAGUUUAGGGAGUGGUUUUUGCUCUUUACGUGUUACGUGGUAGGAAGAGGAGAUUUCGAGUUUACAAUUUUGCCCUCUGUUUUAUAACUUGGUAUUUUAAGGAUUUAUUUCCGUAGACUUGUUUUUCUACUGGGUUUCUUUUUAUUUUUGUGGGUGUUAUAUUAAGUUAUUUUGAAGUAAAAUGUUUUUGGGUUGAGUUCAGGUUCUAAAUUAUUUUUGGGUUAAGUAAUAUUUUUAUUUCAAUGACUUUUUAUUUUUAAAUGAGUUCGGUUUUUAUUUUUUUUUUAAAUAAACUUGUGAAUAAGUAAGAAUUAAGUUAAGUAGAUAUUAAGUGGACAUCUACAAAGUUGGGAAGUGACGAUAUUUUAGUGUUAAGAGAAUUUUUAGGUUUUUGAGGAAUUAAAAUAGUUAUUUCAUGUGUAAAUAUGUGGUAACUAUUUAUUUGGAGCUUUAUUCAAGUUAUAUGAAUUUUUUCUUUAGGUGACGAUCGUUUUUAGUUAAGUAUUGUUGUGGAGAAUUUCUGAAAAGCUAAGAAGUUCAGGUAAGUGGGGUUCAUAUACUAGACUUUACAUAAAAGAAAUGAAUUGGGAUUGAUUUUUAGAAAAAUAUGCAUGUUUUGUUAAGAAAAUAAUUUUGAAAUAUCUCAGUUAUUUGUUAUGUAUUACUCAUGAAAUUUUGAAUAAGAAUAAAGUAUUUUCUGGCAUGACUAGUGUAGAUAUAAGCUAUUUUGGUAUUUUGUUUAUGAACUAUGCAAAAGAGAGCAAAUGUAAAAUUUGUGCAUAAAUUAUAUUUUUGUAAUCUAAUUUUGUUAUGUUCUGAAGAUGUUCUGUUUUCUGAUAUGAUAUAAUGUGAUUUUUGAAAACCUCUGGCAUGACAUUAUGUUUCUGUUUCUGUUCCGUUCUAACCUUACCACGGGUGUACAGAUGUGGCGUCUAUUUGGAUUGGUACCAACUUUUCUAUUUCUGGUGCACCCACUUUGAAAGUAAAGUGGUUUUCUGCAUGGUUUUUCCUAUGUGCACACUCAGGGCUCCGAGAAUAAUAAACGGAAGAUUCACAUUUUGUUUCUGCUCAGUUGGCCUCCUGGGUUUGCACAACCCUACUACGGGGGUUAAAUAUGAAAUUCUAUUCUUAUGUGAUAUUUCAGUUAUGCAGUGCCAAAAGAACUUUGAAUAAGAAUAUUUUCUGAAACUUUCACUCUAAUAUUUUUGUUAACAUGUUCUAAUUCUGUAUUCUGAAAGUAAAAGUAUUUUUGUUCUACAUCCUGAACUCUGUAAAUGUUCAUAUUUGCAUACUAGUAUAUGUUCUCUGCUUAUUGAGUUGUUGAUAACUCACAUUUAUCUCCAUAACAUUUUUCAGAUAUUUUUUAUACUUCAGCUGGAGAACACUAGUACGAAGUAAUGGAAAAUUUCGAUGAUCAUAUAUGAAUAAGUGCUAAGGAUACAAGUAUUUUUUUAAGGAUCAUAUUUUGUAGGUUUACCUUUGGCAACUAUUUUGGUAAGUCGAGUUAUUGGUAAUUCAAGUCUUGGUGGAGUUGUUAUUCUAUUUUUAUUGAGGGGUUUGGUUAGUAUUUCUGUGAAGGAGCAAGGAUAUAUAAUUUGGGUUGAGCAAAUGAAUUAAUAUUUUAUGGAGUUUUUUCGGAUUUUAUAAUUGUGAUUUUGGAGUUGAUAUUCAGUAAUAAGAGCUAACUCUCCGAACGUUCGAGAUCGGGGCGUAGGCCGCGUAUUCUUUCAACUUUCAAUCACUUUUCCGAUGGCCUUUCAAGGUGCCUCUUCCUCUUCCCUUUCUCCUUCUCCUUCUUGGUGGACAUAUGAUGUAUUCUUGAGUUUUAGAGGUGAAGAUACUCGUAAAAGGUUCACUGCCCAUCUACAUGAUGCAUUGCGUCGAAAAAAUAUAAAUACAUACAUAGAUGACAAGCUUCCAAGAGGGGAGAAAAUCUCACCAGCACUUCUCAAAGCUAUUGAAAACUCAAGAAUUUCAAUUGUCAUACUCUCAAAAAACUAUGCAUCAUCCACAUGGUGCUUGGAUGAAUUGAAGAAGAUCAUCGACUGUAAAACAUCAAAGCAACAAAAGGUUCUACCAGUGUUUUAUGAUGUAAGUCCAACAGAGGUAAGAUAUCAGAGAAAAAAUUUCGGAAAAGCAUUGGCUAAACUUAAAGAUAGGUUCGAGGAUGAGACCGAGGUCCAAAAGUGGAAAGAAGCCCUUAAAAAAGUGGCUGAUUUGUCUGGGUUCACUUUAGGAGACAAGACUGAACCAGAAUUAAUUCAAGAAAUUGUUCGAGAGAUUUCUAAAGUAGUAAAGCCUAAAUGUUUAAAUGACGUUGCCAAGCAUCCAGUCGGAAUGGAGUCUAGAGUACAUGACAUCCAUGAUAUACUUCUACAUGUGGAAGUGAAUGACAUACGCAUACUAGGGAUCUAUGGGCUUGGUGGAGUUGGUAAGACAACUUUGGCUAAAGAAAUCUACAACACAUUUACUGACCAGUUUGAAGAUUGUUGCUUUCUUGCAAACGUGAGAGAAACUUCAAAGAGUGAGUAUGGUUUAAUUCAAUUGCAAGAGACACUUCUUUGCGAGAUCCUAAGAGACUCAAGUUUGAAGGUUAGAAAUGUUGAUGAAGGAAUGGGUCUCAUAAAAGAGAUGCUUUGGAGUAAAAGAAUUCUUUUAGUUCUUGAUGAUUUAGAUCAAUCGGUCAAAGUUGAAAAGCUACUUGGAGGAUGUGAUUGGUUUGGUUUAGGAAGUAUAAUCAUUAUAACAACUAGAGAUCAACAUUUAUUAACUAGUAAUAAUGUUAAUUUACGAUAUAAGGUGAAGGAAUUGGAUCGUGAUGAAGCUCUUCGGCUAUUUUGUUUGAAUGCCUUCAAAAAUGAAAAUCUUAACCCUGAUUUUGUAGAACUCACAGAAGACCUACUGCGCUACGUUGGGGGCCUUCCAUUGGCCUUAAUGGUGCUAGGCUCGAAUCUAUAUGGUAGAGACAUUCAUUAUUGGGGAAGUGCUUUGGAAAAGUACAAAAGAAUUCCUCACAACGAUAUUCAUGAAAAACUUAGAAUAAGUUAUGAUGGCUUGGAAGAAAGCGAGAAGAAUAUUUUCUUAGAUAUUGCAUGUUUCUUUACAGGCGAGGAAGAAGGGUAUGUUACUAAAGUACUUGAUAGUUCUGGUUUCUUUCCUAAAUGUGGUAUCAAAGUACUAGUAGAUAAGUCUCUCAUUACCAUUGAGUCUGGCAGAUUAAUCAUGCAUGACUUACUCAAAGAUAUGGACAAAGAAAUUGUUCGUCAAGAAUCACCUGAAGAACCUGAGAAACGCAGUAGGUUGUGGUUUCAUGAAGACAUUCGUCAUGUAUUUGAAGAAACUAAGGGAACAAACAAGAUUCAAGGCAUAUUGAUAGAGUUUCCAAAACAAGACUUGAUAGAUUUGAAUCCUGAGACUUUCUCGGCAAUGAGAAGGCUUAGGAUAUUUAUAAAUCGUAAUGCACGAUUUUUAAGAGAGCCUAAUUAUCUCUCAAAUGAGCUAAGAGUAUUUGAUUGGCACGGCUAUCCUAGUCAUUUUUUCCCGCAAAAAUUUCAUGGAAAGAAACUCCUCGUUUUAAAAAUGGAUGAUUGCUUCAUCAAAGAAUUAGGAGAAGGAUUGAAGGUACCGUUAUUUCUUUCUUUAAACUAUAUAUAUGUGUGUGUGUGUGUAUAUAUAUGCUGUAAAUUUUUUACAAGCAAAUAUAUUUUCCCUUCUGUUGUUUUCUUUUUUGCAGAAUUUCCAGAAGUUGACUACUAUGAAAUUCUCUAAAUGUAAAUUCCUAAUAACGAUUCCUGAUGUGUCGGGGCUCCAAACUUUAGAGAGAUUGGACAUUGAGUAUUGCAAUAACUUAGUUGAGGUACAUCAAUCUAUUGGCUUCCUUGAUAAACUUGUUAGAUUGUCAAUCCAAAAUUGCCACUGCCUCACUAGUUUUCCAAGAUCCCUCAAGUUGAGAUCUCUAGAAACGCUUAUUCUUUCUUUUGGCAAAAGACUGCAGAAGUUUCCUGAAAUUGAGAGUGAAAUGAAAUGUUUAAGAUUUGUUAAACUAGUACAAAUGACUACUAUAAAAGAAUUACCUUCAUCUAUUGGGAAUCUUUCUAACCUUAAGCAAUUAGAAAUAAUUUGCUACAAACCAAGGUGUAUCCCUAACAGCAUUCGUCGAUCACAAGAUCUGCAUUCUCUCACUCUCGCGCGUCGAUCAGAUGAUCAGAGCCAAUAUCCCUUACCCUCCUCCACUGUAGAAUUGUUCUCAUCAUAUUCUCCUCCAAUGAAUUCAAUUGUGUUUUCGAAACUAGAUUUGGUUCUAUUAACUGCCUUCUAUUCCACCUUGGUUGUUUUAAAUUUAUCGGGAAGCAAUAUUGUCGUUAUCCUUCCUGAGUGGAUCAGAGGAUUUGUUCAAUUACGGGUUCUUAUGUUGUGUCAUUGCGAGCAACUUAAAGAAAUCUUAGAACUUCCUCCAAAUAUAAGAGAGGUAGACAUUAGUGGAUGCAUUUCAUUGGAGAGUUUUCCUGAAGUAUCAAAUAAGUUUGAAUUCAAUACAAGCAGCUUACAUAAGCUAUGUUGGAUUAACUUGAGUGGAUGCCAUAAAAUGGUUGUAAAUCCUCUACGAUUUGAGGAAAAUGUAGAGGACUUGGAUGAAGAUUGUGAACUUAUAUUUUCGGAAAAUAAAAUUCCAGAUUGGGACUACCAUUGCAAGCUGAAGAAGACUCCAAAUAGUUAUGUAUAUGAUGGGAUAAAUGCUGAUUUUGUGUAUUCAUAUGACAUUAAAGGAUUCAUUGCAUGUGUUGUUGUUCAGUCCGAUCCCUCCCAAAGGUCUUCCUGCAAGAAUAUGCAUAUCGGGAUCUACUAUAAUGGUGUAUAUCAGUAUACCACGUAUAUUCCAUGUAUUGAUCCAAGUGGCUCAGAUAAUGUAUUGUUGCAUUACCACAAACUCAAAGGAGAGCGUUUCAAAUCAGUGGAAGGAAUUCUACAACUUAAGUUUUAUAGCAACUUAGGAGAUCAAUACAGAGGUAGUGUCCUAAUUAAAAGUUUUGGAAUCCGUGUGGUACACAAGCAAAAGGAGAUCAGUACAUUGCAAGACGUUGCAAGUUGGAGUCCUUGUGUUAACGUCCAGCCUUCUUCAGAAUCAAUAAUUUAUGAUUUAGAGAAAGAAAGCGAUGAUGAGAAUCCAAAUAAAGAUUUGGAACUUGGGGCCCAUUUGGUAGAGAAGCAUGAAUAAAAUGUAAGAGAUCAUGAUACAGGUGUGCUCCAUGAAGAUGUUGGUGCCCAUUUUGAUGCAUCCAGUGAAGACACUGAAGGUUGGGUAGAUUUAAUGGAUGGUAAAAGGCGUCGUGAUGAAGAUGAUUGCAACCUGGAAUUCAAUUGGUACCCUCAACAAAAGAGGCAGUAUUCCUCAACCAUGAGCAUCAGAAUAACAGAAUUAGAGAAUAUUGAUGAGAAUCCAAAGGAAGAUUUGGAUUUAGAGCUUAAACUUGGGUUGUAAUUAACAAGUGCAAUCUUCAAUUUUGUUUGUUGUUUCGCUGCCUUCUUGAGAUAAGGAGAUAUGCAUGAUCAGCUUGACAAGAUGGAGUCCAGACUGAACCAAACAAAUCACCAUCCAUGCUACCAGACAAUUGUUCAUGUGGAAUUUUAUAGCUUUAAGGUAAUUUUUUGUUUUUUUUUUUUUUUUGGUGCAUUGGUUAUGUCACUGCACAG